GCAAGGGCAGGGAGGCAGGGCAGCAACAAAAAAAUGCGUUUAAUGACAGGGCAUUUGCACUAUGCUCAACUCACUCGCUUUCUCUCUCUCUCCCUCUCUCUCUUUCUCUUACUCUCUAAUACUCACGAUCUCUUGCUCUGCUUCUUCACAUCCUGCCAACUGCAUCAUUAUAAUCUUUUGUUGUUUUUUUUUUUUUUUUUUUUGGGUCAGGGUUGAGCCAGAAACUAAAAACUGAAUCCGGAACAGGAGCCACGUAGGAAAAGUUUUUUUUUUUAAUCCCCAUAUUGCGAGAGCAUCAACAAUAAGCUGAAAAUGCAAAUUUGCAUAAGUUUUGCGCGCUUGAAAAAUGGAAGAAGAGAAAUUUGAAAAUAACAAAAAACAUCAAAUAAGUAAAACUGAGCCCAAACGCGGAACAACAGAUGUGCCAAGGCAACGCAGUCCGAUGAGAGUUAAAGUGAAACAGGAAGAGAGAGAGCGAAAGAGAGAGAGAGAGGGAGCGGAUGAGCGAGAGGCUGCCAGAGAUAAAGGCUUGAGAACCUAGAGACUGGGAACCAGGCAGUCGUCGUGAGGCAGCUAACCAAAUCGGAGCUAAAGAUGGAUUUGCGCUAGGAUGGAGGCAACAUAUUGUAAGAGUUUCUACUCUGAAGUUUACAUCGGGUUGACGGAUAGACGAACAAACAGAGAGACGUCUGGAGAGACAUGCAAUAUACUCUUUCGCUUCUUGCAUGGAUCGAAUAAAGAUAAUUGAAAAACUUGUCGGCAAUUUAAGUGAACUCGAUUGGCCUACUGGAUAUCAUAGCAUAUUAGACCUAACAUCAUCCUCGAUACUAUGAAUAAGUCAUUGAUUAAUUCGGUGUCUAUGUUAGCUAAACGACUUGCCAUGUCCAAUGACACUCGGGAAUAUGCCUACAUGAAAGAUUAAUACAACUAAGUGAAUUGAUAUGAGCUUCCCUUGCAGCGUCGGCGAUGGGCGGCAAUCGCAAAUGGAGUGGAUAUUCAACUGGAUGUGGGCGAAGUCGCAUUCGGCAAAUCAUUUUGAGGGAUCUGCUCUGGGAUAUGUGCACGGACGUUGCUCGGCAACAGCUAAGCCAACCAGACCAGCCCAACCACCCAGAAACCCAUCUACGUAGGCCAAGUCCAUGACAACAUUAGAACACCCCACCCCCACCCCCACCUGCUCUGCUCCUGCUGCUCUCCUUCUGUACGACACGCCUGAAGCCGGGGAUUCGAGUUGGUGCGUGCCUGUCGGCCCAUAACGGAUAUUUGCGUUGUCAUAUCAAAGUCCCAUAUGGCCCGUAAACGUAGCCCCGCGACGCGAAGAGGGUGGCAUUGCUCCCUGUGCAUGUGUGUGUGCGCGUGUGUGUGGGUUAGCAAAAGUGUCAUCAAAGCCUAGGGCGCUCCAAGGAUGCCAUCAAAAAUGCCAGUCGCAUGACUAUAUGCGAGAUAUACUUAUGUAUAUGCAUGAUAAAAAGUUUCAGUAUAUGUAUAGAUGGACGCCACAGACACACACACACACACAUACAGACAGACACACUGACACACACACACACACACACACACACACACCGUAAGACAGUUACAUGGCGUAAAGCGCAGGAAUAAACGAAAUGUGAUAAUAAAAUACAAAACCAAUAAAGGAAAGAGCUCUUUACA
This is a long non-coding RNA of Drosophila mojavensis, 1653 nucleotides long. RefSeq lists it as uncharacterized. The transcript has 2 exons. Lineage: Eukaryota; Metazoa; Arthropoda; Insecta; Diptera; Drosophilidae. The record is from RefSeq and is a predicted model, not a curated record.